Pelodiscus sinensis (Chinese soft-shelled turtle) is the source of this 2774-nucleotide non-coding RNA. Lineage: Eukaryota; Metazoa; Chordata; Testudines; Trionychidae. The record is from RefSeq and is a predicted model, not a curated record.
UAGUAACAAGCACCAGCACAAUGCAAGAGUGCGCCUGCAGGAGCUCCAGCCAGGGGACAGAGCUCUGCUGCGGAGGCCGUGCCCGUGCAUCUGCGUCUACGUUACUUCUCCCUGAUUGGUCCUGAAUGCUGAGCUCGUAGCAAGCCAAGGCAGCCACCCAGCUCUGCCCAGUAGCACCCAGCUUAGCACUGGUCAUCACGGAUGUCAGUGGAUUGUGGCCGGUCCGCACUUGAAACCCAGCACCAGACAAGUAGUCAUGAAGGACCCUCCUGACUUCCUCCUAAGGGGUCUGGAUAAUGUAGCCCCGCAAGGUGAACUCAUGGUCACAGUCCAGUUUCUCCGCCUGCUCCCCUCCUUUGCAGAGCCGUGCAGCACCGUGCCAAUGGAAGGUGAGCUGCUGGGGGCGGGACCGCAGGAUGGGGAAGGCUCAGCUGGCCAGCUCUUGGUGGUCUCUGACUCCACAGGGCUGCACGUAAUAACUGCCCAGCUGCUCCAGGGCUUGGGGGGCAAAUUUUGCCCCCGGGGGUAUAACAUUCUGGCUCCACCACUGCACUCCACCUCCCUGCAAGGCCCACGGGAGAUGCCCGCCUGUCGACAAAGCUGGGUUCGGUCAGUGAAGCUCGGAGCACCCCGGAGCAGCACAGUUGUCCUGGCAUCUGUCCCUAGCACAGGAUGAGCCUGGGAACAGCACUCACAUAACAGCCCUGAGACAGGAGGAGGCUGGUGAAGGGCGUGUUUCCAGGCCGCAUGGUCAUUAGUGGUUGCUCUAAAAAUGCAAGUCUGCCUUUCCCAGCUUCUGAAAUCCUUCGUGGUGUCAGCAGCUCCUCCUGGCACCCCGUUCCACCCCCAAUUCCCACUCCUAACCUCAACCAGCAGUUCACACACGUCCAAACCUACCAACCCCAAUAGCUGGGGAUUGAAGUGGUCCCUGGAGGCCUAUCCUAUUCCUUCCGGCCUCGUCUCCGUCCCUUUAAUUCUUGGCACCCAACGUGGGCCGUGUCUUCCCUCUUGGAGUACCCAGCCUUUUUCAGUGAGUGAAUCUGGGGAAGGAUCUGGAGAAGGGGGAGAGCUUUACCCCAGUGUGCCGAUUAAUUUUCGUCUCAGGUCCCUGUCCAUUUCAUUCCUACUCAAGGUGCCUCUUUGUCUGGCUGGGGCAGUAGAAAACCAAUCACAAAGUCAAGCUCUUCUACAGGACUCGCAGUAAGAGGGCAGCGAGAUGCUCAAAGCACAAGAUCAAUGUCGUUCGGCACGGUGCUCCAGCACCAGCACGGAAAUGCGGCCACUUCUGGGGUGAGCCAUGGCUAUACAGCAUCCUUGGGAAAGAAGGGCCCGCGAUUGUACCCAGCUGGAAAUGGAGCGUGCCGCUGAGUGAAGAGAGGUCACAGCCAGAGGGAAUGUGCCCGCGACAAUAGAGAUGCCGAAAAGCACACGACUCACUGCGAAGCAGAGUCCAGCCCACGGGGCUCGGGUGCGGAAAUGGAGACUAACCUGUUUGUGUUCCUCGGAGGGCGGCAGCCGGAGGAGGUUUUUGGUCCAGCUCCUAAGAUGGUGCCUUUUCUUGUCUCUUCUCAAGGGGCCCAGCAGAAAUCCUGGCAUCUUGAUUACCACCUGCCCCUCUGAUCGACUGCCUGUUCCGCCCCGGCAGUUUGCUGCUCGCUUCCCUUUGUUUUCCCGGCUGCUUUCCCCUCGGCAGCCCGGCGGGAGCAUGGGGCCCAGCCUGCCUCUCUGGGCUGAGAAGCCUCUCGAGAUGACCUGGUCCCGGCUCACGAGCCCUCCGGAAAAGGCACCCUGCCUGCAAAACAGCUUCAGCAAGGUGACCCAGGGAGGAGAUGACCAGGCACCUCAGUCCUGGGGGCAAACGUAUGAAAUCAAAAUGAACCGCGUAAAGGGAGCACGGUACACUUGGCGUUGUGUGUUGUCAUGGAAAUCAAUACAUUUGAAAAUGUAGAAAACAUCCAAAACAUGUAUACUGCAGUGAAUUGAUAUUUUAUUUUCACCAGGCAAUUAAACCUGUGAUUAGUUGAGGUCUUUUAGUCAUUCGGCAGCUGUAAGGGUUGCUAUGUGUGUUCAAUGAAGAUCUCUGUGCACCCUGGAGGGGAAGUCAUGCCAGGGGUGCGGUGGAGGUGAGGCUUGCAUUGCACUGGCCGAUAGUGCUGCCUAGUGUCCUGCAUGGAGCAGGCUGUACCAUCCCCUUGCCUCUGGAAAUGUAGCCCCACCCGCAGCUCUGCAGGCAGUGGUAGGGGCCUGCGCUAUCGGCCAUGCAAGUCACGGUGGAACUGGCGUAGUCUUGCCCUCCGAGUGGGACAGUCCAUUCUCCGCCCCCUGUGGGAUGUUCCUGUCUUGGCUCUGCCUCUCUCUGCCACGGCCAGGCGAUAUCCCAGAAGCUGCCUAUAUGGAUGGCUCCCCACAUCACCAUGUGCACGAUCAGCCCCAGAGCACGAUCAGCAUGGAGCUGAAGGCAGGGAAUUCGGCUCAGCACUUCCUGACCUGCACUAGCGCUCUGCCCACGCCCAGGGCACUACGGCAUCGCUUUCUCUCUGCACCCUCUGCCGACUGGCACAGCCCAGUCCAGGGCCAGCCCCCUGGGCCAGCCAGGAAAUGCUCUCCAGGAAUGCGCUGUGGAGGAGCAGUUACUUCAUGCAAGCUGAAGGCCGAGGGGGCAGAGACAGGCCCUUUUCCAGCAAUAUGAACUGAUUUGUAACAAAAGAAAUCCCUUCUCUUACAGUGAUAGAAAUGUAGCCGUGUUAGUCUGGUGUAGCUGAAACAAAAUACAG